GACGAACGCUGGCGGCGUGCUUAACACAUGCAAGUCGAACGGAAAGGCCGUGCUUGCAGGGUACUCGAGUGGCGAACGGGUGAGUAACACGUGGGUGAUCUGCCCUGCACUUCGGGAUAAGCCUGGGAAACUGGGUCUAAUACCGGAUAGGAGCCAUUUUUAGUGUGAUGGUUGGAAAGUUUUUUCGGUGUAGGAUGAGCUCGCGGCCUAUCAGCUUGUUGGUGGGGUAAUGGCCUACCAAGGCGGCGACGGGUAGCCGGCCUGAGAGGGUGGACGGCCACAUUGGGACUGAGAUACGGCCCAGACUCCUACGGGAGGCAGCAGUGGGGAAUAUUGCACAAUGGGCGCAAGCCUGAUGCAGCGACGCCGCGUGGGGGAUGACGGCCUUCGGGUUGUAAACUCCUUUCGCUAGGGACGAAGCUUUUUGUGACGGUACCUAGAUAAGAAGCACCGGCUAACUACGUG
Molecule: ribosomal RNA, 465 nt
Filed under: uncultured bacterium
Lineage: Bacteria
Description: partial 16S ribosomal RNA
Rfam family: Bacterial small subunit ribosomal RNA
Source: RNAcentral